AGAGUUUGAUCCUGGCUCAGAGUGAACGCUGGCGGCAGGCCUAACACAUGCAAGUCGAACGGCAGCACAGGGGAGCUUGCUCCCUGGGUGGCGAGUGGCGGACGGGUGAGGAAAACGUCGGAAUCUGCCUAUUUGUGGGGGAUAACGUAGGGAAACUUACGCUAAUACCGCAUACGCCCUGAGGGGGAAAGUGGGGGAUCCGCAAGGACCUCACGUUAUUCGAGCGGCCGACGUCUGAUUAGCUAGUUGGUGGGGUAAAGGCCUACCAAGGCGACGAUCAGUAGCGGGUCUGAGAGGAUGAUCCGCCACACUGGAACUGAGACACGGUCCAGACUCCUACGGGAGGCAGCAGUGGGGAAUUUUGGACAAUGGGGGAAACCCUGAUCCAGCCAUUCCGCGUGGGUGAAGAAGGCCUUCGGGUUGUAAAGCUCUUUCAGCUGGAAAGAAACGGUGCGCUCUAACAUAGCGUGCUAAUGACGGUACCAGCAGAAGAAGCACCGGCUAACUACGUGCCAGCAGCCGCGGUAAUACGUAGGGUGCGAGCGUUAAUCGGAAUUACUGGGCGUAAAGCGUGCGUAGGUGGUUUGUUAAGUCUGAUGUGAAAGCCCUGGGCUCAACCUGGGAAUUGCAUUGGAUACUGGCAGUCUAGAGUGCGGUAGAGGGUAGCGGAAUUCCCGGUGUAGCAGUGAAAUGCGUAGAUAUCGGGAGGAACAUCCGUGGCGAAGGCGGCUACCUGGACCAGCACUGACACUGAGGCACGAAAGCGUGGGGAGCAAACAGGAUUAGAUACCCUGGUAGUCG
This 801-nucleotide ribosomal RNA is filed under the name uncultured bacterium. Its description in RNAcentral is "bacterial SSU rRNA". It matches the Rfam family "Bacterial small subunit ribosomal RNA", at positions 8 to 796 of the family's 1533-position model. The record is from RNAcentral.